GACGAACGCUGGCGGCGUGGAUUAGGCAUGCAAGUCGAACGGUAUCAUCCUUUCGGGGGUGAGAGAGUGGCGAACUGGUGAGUAACACGUAGGUUAUCUACCCUCAAGACGGGGACAACCCAGGGAAACUUGGGCUAAUACCGGAUGUGAGCAACUUUUAGUUGUUUGAAAGGUGGCGUAAGCUGUCGCUUGGGGAUGAGCCUGCGUCCUAUUAGUUAGUUGGUGAGGUAACGGCUCACCUAGGCAAUGAUAGGUAGGCGGCCUUAACGGGUGGUCGCCCACACUGGGAUUGAGAUACGGCCCAGACUCCUACGGGAGCAGCAGUCGAGAAUAGUCUACAAUGGUCGGAAGACUGAUAGUGCGACGCCGCGUGAACGAUGAAUCCCUUCGGGGUUAAAGUUCUUUUAUAUGUGAGCAGUGCUUCUUAUAUUAACAGUAUGGGGAGAGAGAUAUUAGCAUAUGAAUAAGCAACGGCUAACUCCGUGCCAGCAGCCGCGGU
RNAcentral lists this ribosomal RNA (499 nucleotides) under uncultured bacterium. RNAcentral describes it as "bacterial SSU rRNA". It matches the Rfam family "Bacterial small subunit ribosomal RNA", at positions 28 to 521 of the family's 1533-position model. The record is from RNAcentral.